GAAGAUAAAUCAUCCUCCAGUUGUACCGAAGCGAUAACAAAAUCCUCUUCAGGCCGAACUUGCUGAUCAAUAAGUCUUGAGAGUACAUCAGCAUGACCAAAUUCACUAGUUUUGAUGUACUCAAUCCUGAAAUCGUAGGACAUAAGAUGCAACGCCCAACGCUGCAAACGAUUUGCUGAGUGCACCGAUAUGCCCUUCUUGCUUCCGAAGAUUUGCAAAAGAGGCUUAUGCAGAAGUAAGACUCCUGGCAGCAUGACAAACUGCCUUGACUGAAAAAUCCGAAAAACGGUGAAGGAUGCAAGCUCCCACUCCUUCGUUAGAGGCAUCUGCUGCCACAAUAAUCUCAUGCUUAGGAUUAUAAUGUGUGAGCAAAAGUUUAGAUGUUAAAAUCUUUUUGAACUGCUCAAAAGACUUCUGACACCGAAGAGACCACUCCCACGAACUGUCUCUCCACCUACCACCAGGUCGUCAAUGUAGGCAAAAGUAUUUGACAAACCAGAAAUUAGCGAGUCCAUGAUUGCUUGGAACUCGCCAGGAGCCACUCUAACUCCGAAAGGCAUUCGAUUAUAAACGUAAAGUCCACGAUGCGUAUUUAUGUUUGCAAGCUGUGCAAAUAUUUCAUCUGGCAGCGGCAAAGGAUGACGAUUGGGCUCAAGGGAUUCAUUGAGUCCUGUAGAGAAAUCGGCACAAAUUCUGAUCAACCCGUUCUUUUUACGAACCACAACAAUUGGAGUAGCCCACUCAGAGUACUUGAUAGGAGAUAUAAUACCGUUUUGUACAAGGCGAUCCAAUUCAGCAUCUACUUGCGGCAAGAUUGCAAAGGCAACCGGUCGUUUAGGCUUGAAAAUCGGCUUUGCAUCGGCCUUUAAAUGCAACUUAACCUUGGUUUUNGAGCAACGACCUAAACCGCUUGAGAACACAUCUUGAAAUUUAUGCUGGUAAACAUUUAUAUCAAACUGCGAAUCUUCGCUCUUGGUUAAAUAACAAAAAUCAUUUAAUGACUGAUUCCAUAUAUUGAAAGCUGAGCACCAAUCCAAACCCAUUACAUUCAAUUCCGGAUUUGAAGUGACGAAACAACGAAGUUGCUUGGUGAUUCCUUUGAACGUAACAGAACAGUUAAAUUCUUGAUUAAAAAGAAUUGAGUUAUUGGACGCAUCUCGAGCGAUGUGUGAGGUGACUGUCCCCGUUGGCUUCCCGAGAGCAGACCAAGUUGAAAAAGAAAUGACCGUAAGGUCUGACCCUGUGUCNAGUUGAAGUGUAACUGGAAAAGAGUUAAUGAGAACAUCAACAUGCUUGCGAUUCGUAACACAUUUGACUUGAUUCACAGAAUGAAUAGUCUUGACACUGGACUCCGAGCUUUCCUCGCUUGACUUAGCUUUAACUUUCUUGCUUGACGCGCAAUAUCCAUCCCUAUGACCGACGGCUUUACAUUUCUGAC
Long non-coding RNA from Pseudomyrmex gracilis, 1438 nucleotides. RefSeq lists it as uncharacterized. Lineage: Eukaryota; Metazoa; Arthropoda; Insecta; Hymenoptera; Formicidae. The record is from RefSeq and is a predicted model, not a curated record. The transcript is spliced from 4 exons.